GGAUAACCUGCCCUUGGGUCCGGCAUAACCCCGGGAAACUGGGGAUAAUUCCGGAUAACGCACAUAUGCUGGAAUGCUUUAUGCGUAAAAUGGAUUCGUCUGCCCAAGGAUGGGUCUGCGGCCUAUCAGGUAGUAGUGGGUGUAAUGUACCUACUAGCCAACAACGGGUACGGGUUGUGAGAGCAAGAGCCCGGAGAUGGAUUCUGAGACAUGAAUCCAGGCCCUACGGGGCGCAGCAGGCGCGAAAACUUUACAAUGCGGGAAACCGUGAUAAGGGGACACCGAGUGCCAGCAUCAUAUGCUGGCUGUCCAGGUGUGUAAAAUACACCUGUCAGCAAGGGCCGGGCAAGACCGGUGCCAGCCGCCGCGGUAACACCGGCGGCCCGAGUGGUGAUCGUGAUUAUUGGGUCUAAAGGGUCCGUAGCCGGUUUGGUCAGUCCUCCGGGAAAUCUGACGGCUCAACCGUUAGGCUUUCGGGGGAUGCUGCCAGGCUUGGAACCGGGAGAGGUAAGAGGUACUACAGGGGUAGGAGUGAAAUCUUGUAAUCCCUGUGAGACCACCUGUGGCGAAGGCGUCUUACCAGAACGGGUUCGACGGUGAGGGACGAAAGCUGGGGGCACGAACCGGAUUAGAUACCCGGGUAGUCCCAGCCGUAAACGAUGCUCGCUAGGUGUCAGGCAUGGCGCGACCGUGUCUGGUGCCGCAGGGAAGCCGUGAAGCGAGCCACCUGGGAAGUACGGCCGCAAGGCUGAAACUUAA
Molecule: ribosomal RNA, 759 nt
Filed under: uncultured archaeon
Lineage: Archaea
Description: bacterial SSU rRNA
Rfam family: Archaeal small subunit ribosomal RNA
Source: RNAcentral